AUACAUCUAAAAAGUUUUUGAAACACUCACCCUAUUUUUUGAUCACGCUUUGCCAAUCACUUUCUGCAGGGAAGAAGGGUUGCUGACAGCCAACAUUUCCCCAGGACAUUUGCUCUUCAUACAAAUGCCACAAGACAGCUGGUGGUUUCCAGUGCUUGCCGUGAAAGAGCCCCAAUAUGUACACCCCCCAGUAAGAUGAACCCCAAUUCCAUGGAGAGAGAAAAAGUGAGACAGCUUCUUCAUCCUUCAUGGUGCAUCAACACAUAAUAUUCUUAGUGUGAGGGCAGUUGAAGGUCACAUCACAAACCAGAUGUGUAUGAUGAAGAUGGAGUUCUUCCCAGAUUCAGGGCAUAGUUAGGGAAACAAGUGUUUAGUUUGUUGAUUUCAGAAGUCCUGAUUUGUCAAAGCCAAUCAUAGCCUUGUAAUAAUAAAGGGGAAAAACUGCUUGAGAUU
This 453-nucleotide long non-coding RNA is filed under the name Chinchilla lanigera (long-tailed chinchilla). RNAcentral's name for it is "lncRNA (ENSCLAG00000027902.1)". Lineage: Eukaryota; Metazoa; Chordata; Mammalia; Rodentia; Chinchillidae. The record is from RNAcentral.